UACAGAGGGUGCGAGCGUUGUUCGGAAUUAUUGGGCGUAAAGGGCGCGUAGGCGGUGCGGUAAGUCACCUGUGAAAUCUCCUGGCUCAACUGGGAGCUUGCAGGCGAAACUGCCGUGCUGGAGUGUGGGAGAGGUGCGUGGAAUUCCUGGUGUAGCGGUGAAAUGCGUAGAUAUCUGGAGGAACACCGGUGGCGAAGGCGGCAUCCUGGACCGAGAUUGACGCUGAGGCGCGAAAGCCAGGGGAGCAAACGGG
RNAcentral lists this ribosomal RNA (253 nucleotides) under uncultured bacterium. RNAcentral's name for it is "partial 16S ribosomal RNA". It matches the Rfam family "Bacterial small subunit ribosomal RNA", at positions 524 to 776 of the family's 1533-position model. The record is from RNAcentral.